RNAcentral lists this transfer RNA (86 nucleotides) under Alphaproteobacteria bacterium. RNAcentral describes it as "tRNA-Leu". It matches the Rfam family "tRNA". From Rfam's summary of the family: Transfer RNA (tRNA) molecules are approximately 80 nucleotides in length. Their secondary structure includes four short double-helical elements and three loops (D, anti-codon, and T loops). Further hydrogen bonds mediate the characteristic L-shaped molecular structure. tRNAs have two regions of fundamental functional importance: the anti-codon, which is responsible for specific mRNA codon recognition, and the 3' end, to which the tRNAs corresponding amino acid is attached (by aminoacyl-tRNA synthetases). tRNAs cope with the degeneracy of the genetic code in two manners: having more than one tRNA (with a specific anti-codon) for a particular amino acid; and 'wobble' base-pairing, i.e. permitting non-standard base-pairing at the 3rd anti-codon position. Lineage: Bacteria; Pseudomonadati; Pseudomonadota; Alphaproteobacteria. The record is from RNAcentral.
GCGGGCGUGGCGGAAUUGGUAGACGCGCCAGACUCAAAAUCUGGUUUCCUCUGGAAGUGGGAGUUCAAGUCUCCCCGCCCGCACCA